AGUGAACGCUGGCGGUAGGCCUAACACAUGCAAGUCGAACGGCAGCACAGUAAGAGCUUGCUCUUACGGGUGGCGAGUGGCGGACGGGUGAGGAAUACAUCGGAAUCUACUUUUUCGUGGGGGAUAACGUAGGGAAACUUACGCUAAUACCGCAUACGACCUACGGGUGAAAGCAGGGGAUCUUCGGACCUUGCGCGAUUGAAUGAGCCGAUGUCGGAUUAGCUAGUUGGCGGGGUAAAGGCCCACCAAGGCGACGAUCCGUAGCUGGUCUGAGAGGAGGAUCGGCGACACUGGAACGGAGACACGGUCCAGACUCCUACGGGAGGCAGCAGUGGGGAAUAUUGGACAAUGGGCGCAAGCCUGAUCCAGCCAUACCGCGUGGGUGAAGAAGGCCUUCGGGUUGUAAAGCCCUUUUGUUGGGAAAGAAAAGCAGCAGGUUAAUACCACGCUGUUCUGACGGUACCCAAAGAAUAAGCACCGGCUAACUUCGUG
This 492-nucleotide ribosomal RNA is filed under the name uncultured bacterium. RNAcentral describes it as "partial 16S ribosomal RNA". It matches the Rfam family "Bacterial small subunit ribosomal RNA", at positions 29 to 507 of the family's 1533-position model. The record is from RNAcentral.